GAUGAACGCUGGCGGCGUGCCUAAUACAUGCAAGUCGAGCGAACGGACGAGAAGCUUGCUUCUCUGAUGUUAGCGGCGGACGGGUGAGUAACACGUGGAUAACCUACCUAUAAGACUGGGAUAACUUCGGGAAACCGGAGCUAAUACCGGAUAAUAUUUUGAACCGCAUGGUUCAAAAGUGAAAGACGGUCUUGCUGUCACUUAUAGAUGGAUCCGCGCUGCAUUAGCUAGUUGGUAAGGUAACGGCUUACCAAGGCAACGAUGCAUAGCCGACCUGAGAGGGUGAUCGGCCUCACUGGAACUGAGACACGGUCCAGACUCCUACGGGAGGCAGCAGUAGGGAAUCUUCCGCAAUGGGCGAAAGCCUGACGGAGCAACGCCGCGUGAGUGAUGAAGGUCUUCGGAUCGUAAAACUCUGUUAUUAGGGAGGAACAUAUGUGUAAGUAACUGUGCACAUCUUGACGGUACCUAAUCAGAAAGCCACGGCUAACUACGUGCCAGCAGCCGCGGUAAUACGUAGGUGGCAAGCGUUAUCCGGAAUUAUUGGGCGUAAAGCGCGCGUAGGCGGUUUUUUAAGUCUGAUGUGAAAGCCCACGGCUCAACCGUGGAGGGUCAUUGGAAACUGGAAAACUUGAGUGCAGAAGAGGAAAGUGGAAUUCCAUGUGUAGCGGUGAAAUGCGCAGAGAUAUGGAGGAACACCAGUGGCGAGGGCGACUUUCUGGUCUGUAACUGACGCUGAUGUGCGAAAGCGUGGGGAUCAAACAGGAUUAGAUACCCUGGUAGUCCACGCCGUAAACGAUGAGUGCUAAGUGUUAGGGGGUUUCCGCCCCUUAGUGCUGCAGCUAACGCAUUAAGCACUCCGCCUGGGGAGUACGACCGCAAGGUUGAAACUCAAAGGAAUUGACGGGGACCCGCACAAGCGGUGGAGCAUGUGGUUUAAUUCGAAGCAACGCGAAGAACCUUACCAAAUCUUGACAUCCUUUGACAACUCUAGAGAUAGAGCUUUCCCCUUCGGGGGACAAAGUGACAGGUGGUGCAUGGUUGUCGUCAGCUCGUGUCGUGAGAUGUUGGGUUAAGUCCCGCAACGAGCGCAACCCUUAAGCUUAGUUGCCAUCAUUAAGUUGGGCACUCUAAGUUGACUGCCGGUGACAAACCGGAGGAAGGUGGGGAUGACGUCAAAUCAUCAUGCCCCUUAUGAUUUGGGCUACACACGUGCUACAAUGGACAAUACAAAGGGCAGCGAAACCGCGAGGUCAAGCAAAUCCCAUAAAGUUGUUCUCAGUUCGGAUUGUAGUCUGCAACUCGACUACAUGAAGCUGGAAUCGCUAGUAAUCGUAGAUCAGCAUGCUACGGUGAAUACGUUCCCGGGUCU
This 1372-nucleotide ribosomal RNA is filed under the name uncultured bacterium. Its description in RNAcentral is "bacterial SSU rRNA". It matches the Rfam family "Bacterial small subunit ribosomal RNA", at positions 28 to 1381 of the family's 1533-position model. The record is from RNAcentral.